RNAcentral lists this ribosomal RNA (497 nucleotides) under uncultured bacterium. RNAcentral's name for it is "partial 16S ribosomal RNA". It matches the Rfam family "Bacterial small subunit ribosomal RNA", at positions 28 to 507 of the family's 1533-position model. The record is from RNAcentral.
GAUGAACGCUGGCGGCGUGCCUAAUACAUGCAAGUCGAGCGAACGGACGAGAAGCUUGCUUCUCUGAUGUUAGCGGCGGACGGGUGAGUAACACGUGGAUAACCUACCUAUAAGACUGGGAUAACUUCGGGAAACCGGAUCUAAUACCGGAUGAUAUUUUGAACCGCAUGGUUCAAAAGUGAAAGACGGUCUUGCUGUCACUUAUAGAUGGAUCCGCGCUGCAUUAGCUAGUUGGUAAGGUAACGGCUUACCAAGGCAACGAUGCAUAGCCGACCUGAGAGGGUGAUCGGCCACACUGGAACUGAGACACGGUCCAGACUCCUACGGGAGGCAGCAGUAGGGAAUCUUCCGCAAUGGGCGAAAGCCUGACGGAGCAACGCCGCGUGAGUGAUGAAGGUCUUCGGAUCGUAAAACUCCGUUAUUAGGGAAGAACAUAUGUGUAAGUAACUGUGCACAUCUUGGCGGUACCUAAUCAGAAAGCCACGGCUAACUACGUG